Pelobates cultripes (western spadefoot toad) is the source of this 268-nucleotide non-coding RNA. NCBI's taxonomy places the organism in Eukaryota, Metazoa, Chordata, Amphibia, Anura, Pelobatidae. The record is from the annotation of a GenBank genome assembly.
AUUUCAAACGAAUGAACGAAGACCUCUUCAUUUGUUUGUUUGGUUUAUUACAAGGAGGGAGCUAUGUAAAAAUAGAGGCUUCAGGGAGCAGUGCUCCCUGCCACUUCCUAAGCCCCUAAUGUCCUCCUUCACUCAUGGUGGGGCAUCUAUUUACUAUCAGGCGGGAUAUAGUGUCCCCCCCAAACCCACAACCCAUUGGCCUUUUUUGGGGGCUGAAAAAAGGUUUUAGAAAAAAGAAGAAAUCAAAUGGUAAAUUUUUUUUUCAUUU